GAUUAGUGGCGGACGGGUGAGUAACAUUUAGGAAUCUGCCUAGUAGUGGGGGAUAGCUCGGGGAAACUCGAAUUAAUACCGCAUACGACCUACGGGUGAAAGGGGGCGCAAGCUCUUGCUAUUAGAUGAGCCUAAAUCAGAUUAGCUAGUUGGUGGGGUAAAGGCCCACCAAGGCGACGAUCUGUAACUGGUCUGAGAGGAUGAUCAGUCACACCGGAACUGAGACACGGUCCGGACUCCUACGGGAGGCAGCAGUGGGGAAUAUUGGACAAUGGGGGCAACCCUGAUCCAGCCAUGCCGCGUGUGUGAAGAAGGCCUUUUGGUUGUAAAGCACUUUAAGCAGGGAGGAGAGGCUAAUGGUUAAUACCCAUUAGAUUAGACGUUACCUGCAGAAUAAGCACCGGCUAACUCUGUGCCAGCAGCCGCGGUAAUACAGAGGGUGCGAGCGUUAAUCGGAAUUACUGGGCGUAAAGCGAGUGUAGGUGGCUCAUUAAGUCACAUGUGAAAUCCCCGGGCUUAACCUGGGAACUGCAUGUGAUACUGGUGGUGCUAGAAUAUGUGAGAGGGAAGUAGAAUUCCAGGUGUAGCGGUGAAAUGCGUAGAGAUCUGGAGGAAUACCGAUGGCGAAGGCAGCUUCCUGGCAUAAUAUUGACACUGAGAUUCGAAAGCGUGGUACAACAG
RNAcentral lists this ribosomal RNA (681 nucleotides) under uncultured Gammaproteobacteria bacterium. RNAcentral's name for it is "bacterial SSU rRNA". It matches the Rfam family "Bacterial small subunit ribosomal RNA", at positions 90 to 775 of the family's 1533-position model. The record is from RNAcentral. Lineage: Bacteria; Pseudomonadati; Pseudomonadota; Gammaproteobacteria.